This 398-nucleotide ribosomal RNA is filed under the name uncultured bacterium. RNAcentral's name for it is "bacterial SSU rRNA". It matches the Rfam family "Bacterial small subunit ribosomal RNA", at positions 28 to 417 of the family's 1533-position model. The record is from RNAcentral.
AACGAACGCUGGCGGCGCGCUUAACACAUGCAAGUCGAACGAGAAGGCGUAGCAAUACGCUUGUACAGUGGCGAACGGGUGAGUAAUACGUGGGCGACCUACCCUCGAGUGGGGAAUAACCCGCCGAAAGGCGGGCUAAUGCCGCGUACGCUUCCAUCUUUAUGGAGGUGGAAGGAAAGCCGUGCCGUGGGCACGGCGCUCAAGGAUGGGCUCACGUCCUAUCAGCUUGUUGGAGGGUAACGGCCUACCAAGGCUCCGACGGGUAGCUGGUCUGAGAGGACGAUCAGCCACACUGGCACUGCGACACGGGCCAGACUCCUACGGGAGGCAGCAGUGAGGAGUAUUGCGCAAUGGGCGAAAGCCUGACGCAGCGACGCCGCGGUGGGGGAUGGAAGGUC